This 77-nucleotide transfer RNA is filed under the name Gammaproteobacteria bacterium. RNAcentral describes it as "tRNA-Met". It matches the Rfam family "tRNA". Rfam says of the family: Transfer RNA (tRNA) molecules are approximately 80 nucleotides in length. Their secondary structure includes four short double-helical elements and three loops (D, anti-codon, and T loops). The record is from RNAcentral. Lineage: Bacteria; Pseudomonadati; Pseudomonadota; Gammaproteobacteria.
UGCGGGAUGGUGCAGUGGUCAGCACAUGAGACUCAUAACCUCAAGGUCGUCGGUUCGAAUCCGACUCCCGCUACCCA